Molecule: long non-coding RNA, 1067 nt
Filed under: Betta splendens (Siamese fighting fish)
Lineage: Eukaryota; Metazoa; Chordata; Actinopteri; Anabantiformes; Osphronemidae
Description: lncRNA (ENSBSLG00000024155.1)
Source: RNAcentral
GGUUCAAUACACCAUAAAAGCACAGUUGCAAAUGUUGAGGUUUAAACUAGUUUCCUUUUGGCUGGAAAAGCUCAAAAACGAUGUUUAAGUGUUUCUGCCUUGGUUUCCAUCAGAACAGCCUGUAAUGGUCAUGUUCUGAUGCCAGGAUGCUGUCAAACAGGUCAAUACACCCUAAAAGCAUAGAUGCAUAUGCCGUGGUUUAAACUAGUUUUCUUAUGGCCUGACAAGCUCAAAAAUGAUGUUUUAGUGUUUCUGCAUUGGUUCCAUUCAAAACAGCCUCUACUGGUCAUGUUCUGAUGCCAGGAUACUGUCAAACAGGUCAAUACACCCUAAAAGCAUAGUUGCAUAUGCCGUGGUUUAAACUAGUUUUCUUUUGGCUAGAAAAGCUCAAAAACGAUGUUUUAGUGUUUCUGCAUUGGUUUCCAUCAGAACAGCCUCUAAUUGUCAUGUUCUGAUGCCAGGAUUCUGUCAAUUAGGUCAAUACACCCUAAAAGCAUAGUUGCAUAUGCUGUGGUUUAAACUAAUUUUCUUUUGGCUAGAAAAGCUCAAAAAAGAAUGUUUUAGUGUUUCUGCGUUGGUUUCCAUUAGAACAGCCUCUAAUGGUCAUGUUCUGAUGCCAGGAUACUGUCAAACAGGUCAAUACACCCUAAAAGCAUAGUUGCAUAUGCCGUGGUUUAAACUAGUUUUCUUAUGGCCUGAAAAGCUCAAAAACAAUGUUUUAGUGUUUAUGCAUUGGUUUCUAACAUUACAGCUUAAGAUGGUCAUGUUCUGAUACCAGGCAACUUUAAAACAGCUCAAAACACCAUAAAAGCACAGUUGCAAAUGCCUUGGUUUAAACUAGUGUUCUUAUGAUCUGAAAAGCUCAACAACAAUGUUUUAGUGUUUCUGCAUUGGUUUCCACCUGAACAGCCUCUAAUGGUCUUGUUCUGAUGCCAGAAUACUGUCAAACAGCUCAAUGCAUCCUAAAAGCACAGUUGCAAAUGUCAAGGUUUAAACUAGUGUUCUUAUGAUCUGAACAGCUCAAAAACGAUGUUUUAGUGUUUAUGCAUUGGUUUCAUUCAGAACAG